Long non-coding RNA from Rosa chinensis, 1662 nucleotides. RefSeq lists it as uncharacterized. The record is from RefSeq and is a predicted model, not a curated record. NCBI's taxonomy places the organism in Eukaryota, Viridiplantae, Streptophyta, Magnoliopsida, Rosales, Rosaceae. The transcript has 4 exons.
UAAACUUAAUUACAAAAACUGUCACCGUUGGCUCUCUCUCCCUCCCUUCUGUUCAGAUUCAACCCUUUACCAAAAUCUCUCUCUCUCUCUCUCUCUCUCUCUCUCUCUCUCUCCACAAACCCUUACCAUCCCAACCUCCUUGACCGCGACUCCUUGAGACCUUCCUCGACUUCUUCGACUCGGCGCCCUUCACCAUCGAUCUCUCCUUCGAGUGGAUCCUCGACUCCCGUGACUCCGACGCCGAUCAGUUCAAGCUCAUUGAUCGCGCCCUGCAGUUGGGAUUGGUGCUCCUCGAGGCCGGUAAGAGCUUGGCGAGACGACGAGCCUCCAAGAACAACUCCAUCUCCUGGGCUCUCCCUCAAGACCUCAGCAUCAAGGUCUUUUCCAUGCCCCAUACUCAAAGCAUAUGCUAUCCUGCAGCUACUUAUUCAAUGUUUAAUAAAUGUGCCAUGCGAAUAUUGACUUGACAACAGUUGUCCUAAAAGUUAACAAUGGAGUAGUUUCCACAAUGAUACACAAACAGGGAAAGCUCUUGAGUUGUGGCUCAAAAACUGAAGGAGGCAGAAAUUACCGAGCAAGACUCCCUUCUGGUUCCACUUUCCUCUUCUAGUUGACCUCUCCUCCUCCUCCGGCAACGAUGACUUCAGGAACUGGAAUGCCGACUUCGUCAAGGAAUUCUGGCAUUGACAAUUUACGAGCAUCUACAUAAGGAAUUUGAAGCUACACGGGCUUUUCAAACUCCAGGUAGCUCUGAAUAGAUUUUAUGCUAAAUGCUUCAUUUUAAAGGUACAGUUGCAUCUAGCUUUCGGUCAUCAUGGUAAGUUUUUCUUUAUUUGCUUAAGUGGUUUCUAAAAGCAUUUAGAGGUAAAUUCUUGGGUGUGGAAACUAUAGACCUGCAUCUUCUGUGAAUUGUAGCGGUUUUAAGUUGAACUCAACCAUGAUCAGGUUGUGAUAUCUAAGUUGAUAAUGAGUCUCGUGGGUUACUGUGUGAUUGUCUAAUAAAACCCGCUCUAAAAUUUGUUGUUCUUGUUAUGUGGCAUGUGCUAAUCGUAGAACUAAGUGUCAAAUUUGUUGUCACUGGCCAAGUCACUAGCCAGUUACUGAUCAUAUCCUAUGUUAAUUACAAGUCAGUAACCAAGUCACUGCCAAUCGCAUGUCACCUGCCAAGUCACUGUUAUAUCUAUGUCAUUGACUUUGUCACAUUGCAUAUUACUGACCAUGUCACUGUGAUACACAAGUCACUGGCCAAAUCACAUUGUAUGUCACUGACAUAUUUUGAAAAUUUCAAAUCAUUAUUAUAUCCUGGUCACUAGCCAAGUAACUAUUACAAGAAGAAAUCUCACUAGCCAUGUCAUUGAUAGAGGUGGCAAACGGGCCACUAAGCACGAGCACGGCACGGGCCCGACACUCUUAAAAGAGGCUUGGCACGGUCCAAGCCCAUUAGUCGACCUACACGACCCGAGCACGUUAGAAUAAUGGGCCGGGUUGGGCCUAUGAAUAUUGGCCCAUUGGCCCGGUCUGGCCUGAGCACAACAAAUUGUGGGAUGGCCCGUUACAAAUACAAAAUUUCAUUUUUUAAAAAAAAAUAUUUAAAAACCACAAUGAUGAGAUUUGAAUAUUAGACCUCUUUAUUUAAAAUCUCAUGACAAUUCCACCAAUGCU